UAACUUAAACUUUUCGGUGGUAUCUUUCACCCCACUGAUCACCAGGGUUGAUUUGGCUGAUAUGGCUGGCUAGGCAGGUGUCUCCUUCCUCCCUUACCACUCCAUGUGCAUCCCUCCUGAAGCUGCAGGACCACAGGACGACCACCCCUGAUAGAGGAGGACCAUUUCCUUGGUCAAGGGCAUAUAAGUAGCUGCUCUCCCUUUAGAACUUCCCAACAGGCUCAAAAAAUCCAAAAAUGUUAGCUCUCCUAAAAUGAGCAAAACCCUUAUAUACUGGCAGUUUUAAAAUAG
Unclassified non-coding RNA from Fukomys damarensis (Damara mole-rat), 291 nucleotides. Its record names the gene 7SK. It matches the Rfam family "7SK RNA". From Rfam's summary of the family: 7SK was discovered as an abundant small nuclear RNA in the mid-70s but a possible function has only recently been suggested. Two independent studies have found that 7SK RNA binds the CDK9/cyclin T complex (known as elongation factor P-TEFb). Lineage: Eukaryota; Metazoa; Chordata; Mammalia; Rodentia; Bathyergidae. The record is from Ensembl.